This 497-nucleotide ribosomal RNA is filed under the name uncultured bacterium. RNAcentral describes it as "partial 16S ribosomal RNA". It matches the Rfam family "Bacterial small subunit ribosomal RNA", at positions 28 to 507 of the family's 1533-position model. The record is from RNAcentral.
GAUGAACGCUGGCGGCGUGCCUAAUACAUGCAAGUCGAGCGAACAGACGAGGAGCUUGCUCCUCUGACGUUAGCGGCGGACGGGUGAGUAACACGUGGAUAACCUACCUAUAAGACUGGAAUAACUUCGGGAAACCGGAGCUAAUACCGGAUAACAUGUUGAACCGCAUGGUUCAACAGUGAAAGACGGUUUUGCUGUCACUUAUAGAUGGAUCCGCGCCGCAUUAGCUAGUUGGUAAGGUAACGGCUUACCAAGGCAACGAUGCGUAGCCGACCUGAGAGGGUGAUCGGCCACACUGGAACUGAGACACGGUCCAGACUCCUACGGGAGGCAGCAGUAGGGAAUCUUCCGCAAAGGGCGAAAGCCUGACGGAGCAACGCCGCGUGAGUGAAGAAGGUCUUCGGAUCGUAAAACUCUGUUAUUAGGGAAGAACAAAUGUGUAAGUAACUAUGCACGUCUUGACGGUACCUAAUCAGAAAGCCACGGCUAACUACGUG